GGUGUACAGGUGGUGCAUGGUUGUCGUCAGCUCGUGUCGUGAGAUGUUGGGUUAAGUCCCGCAACGAGCGCAACCCUCGUUCUAUGUUGCCAGCGGGUUAUGCCGGGGACUCAUAGGAGACUGCCGGGGUCAACUCGGAGGAAGGUGGGGAUGACGUCAAAUCAUCAUGCCCCUUAUGUCUUGGGCUUCACGCAUGCUACAAUGGCCGGUACAAAGGGCUGCGAUACCGUAAGGUGGAGCGAAUCCCAAAAAGCCGGUCUCAGUUCGGAUUGAGGUCUGCAACUCGACCUCAUGAAGUCGGAGUCGCUAGUAAUCGCAGAUCAGCAACGCUGCGGUGAAUACGUUCCCGGGCCUUGUACACACCGCCCGUCAAGUCAUGAAAGUCGGUAACACCCGAAGCCGGUGGCCUAACCCUUGUGGAAGGAGCCGUCGAAGGUGGGAUCGGUGAUUAGGACUAAGUCGUAACAAGGUAGCCGUACCGGAAGGUGCGGCUGGAUCACCUCCUUUCUAAGGAG
RNAcentral lists this ribosomal RNA (515 nucleotides) under Curtobacterium sp. MCPF17_046. RNAcentral's name for it is "bacterial SSU rRNA". It matches the Rfam family "Bacterial small subunit ribosomal RNA", at positions 1029 to 1533 of the family's 1533-position model. The record is from RNAcentral. Lineage: Bacteria; Bacillati; Actinomycetota; Actinomycetes; Micrococcales; Microbacteriaceae.